Molecule: transfer RNA, 71 nt
Filed under: Camelus bactrianus (Bactrian camel)
Lineage: Eukaryota; Metazoa; Chordata; Mammalia; Artiodactyla; Camelidae
Also listed under: 2 other names
Rfam family: tRNA
About the family: Transfer RNA (tRNA) molecules are approximately 80 nucleotides in length. Their secondary structure includes four short double-helical elements and three loops (D, anti-codon, and T loops). Further hydrogen bonds mediate the characteristic L-shaped molecular structure. tRNAs have two regions of fundamental functional importance: the anti-codon, which is responsible for specific mRNA codon recognition, and the 3' end, to which the tRNAs corresponding amino acid is attached (by aminoacyl-tRNA synthetases). tRNAs cope with the degeneracy of the genetic code in two manners: having more than one tRNA (with a specific anti-codon) for a particular amino acid; and 'wobble' base-pairing, i.e. permitting non-standard base-pairing at the 3rd anti-codon position.
Source: Rfam by way of RNAcentral
AGGGAAAUAGCUUAGUGGUAGAGCACUUGCUUAGCAUGUAGAAGUCCUGGGUUCAAUCCCCAGUACCUCCA